GUUCUUUCCAUGAGAGAUCUGGAGACUUGGUGAAGGAGAUAUGAGGAACAGCCACCUCCCAAUGUUGAUAUAAAUGCGAAACCUCCAUAGGCAGGUAGACUAAGAGAACAAUGUUUCCUUUGGAGUCCCAAAACAGGUCUGUUAGUGUAAUGCAUAUUUCUACCAGGCUGAAUAGUUCUUCUUCAUAGUAUGGGUCAGGACCUGGGGUGCUCUUGAACCACAGGGUGCAAUGUAAUUAGCUCCCGGGCUGUUGGUAGUAGGAUGACCCUCAACGGGUAGGACAACUGUGGCAAGAGGCCCCCCUUUGUUCCCUGUAGCCACUGCCAUGACAUGGGUGUUACACACAGGUUUGCCG
This is a non-coding RNA of Pelobates cultripes (western spadefoot toad), 355 nucleotides long. The record is from the annotation of a GenBank genome assembly. Lineage: Eukaryota; Metazoa; Chordata; Amphibia; Anura; Pelobatidae.